This 423-nucleotide ribosomal RNA is filed under the name uncultured bacterium. RNAcentral's name for it is "bacterial SSU rRNA". It matches the Rfam family "Bacterial small subunit ribosomal RNA", at positions 207 to 622 of the family's 1533-position model. The record is from RNAcentral.
AAGACCUUGCACUUUUGGAGCGGCCGAUGUCUGAUUAGCUAGUUGGUGGGGUAAUGGCCUACCAAAGCUUCGAUCAGUAGCUGGUCUGAGAGGACGGCCAGCCACACUGGGACUGAGACACGGCCCAGACUCCUACGGGAGGCAGCAGUGGGGAAUUUUGGACAAUGGGCGCAAGCCUGAUCCAGCCAUGCCGCGUGAGUGAAGAAGGCCUUCGGGUUGUAAAGCUCUUUCAGCCGGGAAGAAAGGGUUGCGACUAAUAAUCGCAAUUCAUGACGGUACCGAAAGAAGAAGCACCGGCUAACUACGUGCCAGCAGCCGCGGUAAUACGUAGGGUGCGAGCGUUAAUCGGAAUUACUGGGCGUAAAGGGUGCGCAGGCGGUUUUGUAAGUCAGAUGUGAAAUCCCCGGGCUUAACCUGGGAACU